Molecule: unclassified non-coding RNA, 954 nt
Filed under: Hevea brasiliensis (rubber tree)
Lineage: Eukaryota; Viridiplantae; Streptophyta; Magnoliopsida; Malpighiales; Euphorbiaceae
Source: RNAcentral
GCAAUAUUCAACAAGAAAAAUCCCUUUGAAGCAAGUGUAAAUUUAUGAGUGACUGAGGUGUAAUAUGUACGUUUACCCUGGUUUAUACAAAGAUCAAUUUAACAACACAAAACAGGGGCAAAAGGCUUAUCGCUAAUGCGAUCUAAUACAAUUAGAAAGGCCAUAAUAAGUUGUGUGUCAAAACCUGGUUGUACAGCCAAGUUAAAGACAUCAUCACCUAGCAAAAUUGUUGUGUUCACUCUUUUCCUAGCCAUCUUCGCUGCUAACUCUCCAUUGAGAGUCUUGAUCUUGCAAUCUCGAGCCCUGAAUGAUCCCUCAAUCCUGAAAUCUGGCGUCUGACCUUGUCUUGUUAGCCCUCCCAUGAAGAUCUCUGCUACGUCUUUGCCAGUGUUGAAAAACAUUGAUGUGCUCCUCAUUGAGAAUAUCUUCAUCUUUGGAUUCUUUCCGUACACAUCUUCUCCUUUGUAUGCAUUCCACUGGAAAUGCAUGCUCAGCAUCUGAGGUUUCAAAGUGAGCAAAGCAUUGCCGACUCCGUCCAUGAGAACAAGACCACCUCCAGCAUAACGAUUCUUCCUGGAAUAGUUGUCGACUCGAAAAACCAAUCUUCCAUGAGGAUCAAAGACGGUGAACCCAUCGGUUCCCUGGAAAGUCAUGCUAGAUCUCUUCCACACAGUUAGCAUACAUGGAUUGCGACGUUGGUGUUGGAAACCAUCUCCAUCGUCAUCAACGAUUCUUUCUUUCUUCUUCCAGAACAAAUCUUGGCUGCUGCAUCUCUUCUCUGCAGGAUAAAUCUUGGACAUGGUGGAAUCAAAAUCUAUUGGAGAAAUGCCUGUGGAGAGAAAAUUAGGAAAAGUGGAGUUGUUUUCUUGGACAAAUAGUGCUUGUGGGUUGGCGAUAGUAUCAUCGAUCACAAGGUAAAAAAUAUGGGUUGGCUUUGCUCAAGCUAGCUUGUUU